This 586-nucleotide ribosomal RNA is filed under the name uncultured bacterium. Its description in RNAcentral is "partial 16S ribosomal RNA". It matches the Rfam family "Bacterial small subunit ribosomal RNA", at positions 355 to 938 of the family's 1533-position model. The record is from RNAcentral.
UGGGGAAUUUUGGACAAUGGGCGAAAGCCUGAUCCAGCAAUGCCGCGUGUGUGAAGAAGGCCUUCGGGUUGUAAAGCACUUUUGUCCGGAAAGAAAUCCUUGGCUCUAAUACAGUCGGGGGAUGACGGUACCGGAAGAAUAAGCACCGGCUAACUACGUGCCAGCAGCCGCGGUAAUACGUAGGGUGCAAGCGUUAAUCGGAAUUACUGGGCGUAAAGCGUGCGCAGGCGGUUUGCUAAGACCGAUGUGAAAUCCCCGGGCUCAACCUGGGAACUGCAUUGGUGACUGGCAGGCUAGAGUAUGGCAGAGGGGGGUAGAAUUCCACGUGUAGCAGUGAAAUGCGUAGAGAUGUGGAGGAAUACCGAUGGCGAAGGCAGCCCCCUGGGCCAAUACUGACGCUCAUGCACGAAAGCGUGGGGAGCAAACAGGAUUAGAUACCCUGGUAGUCCACGCCCUAAACGAUGUCAACUAGUUGUUGGGGAUUCAUUUCCUUAGUAACGUAGCUAACGCGUGAAGUUGACCGCCUGGGGAGUACGGUCGCAAGAUUAAAACUCAAAGGAAUUGACCGGGGUCAUAGCUGUUUCCU